GCGAAUGUGUGUUGCACUUAGUUUGUUGUUGUUUAAUGUCAUUUGUUCCUAAGUUUGAGAAUUCCGAAUUAAUUGACAUAUUAAAGGUGUUUGUGAUGUUAUCCGUCUUUUAUUUUUAUCUUAGCAGUUUCCUUCUCCCUUCCCUCAUACCAUUGUUGUGAACAGACUAAGUCUUAGCUUGGAGCAUCUAUUUGUGUUUUACUGGUUUUCGAUUUAACUGUUCUUUGUUUGCCAUUGAAUCUAAAGCAUCCGGAUUCAAAGAUUUUCUCUUUCUCUUCCUUUAAAUCUAUUGAUUGCUUUGAUCUCGCUAAAUUCCUUGCCUCAAGUCUUUUCCUUGAUUUAAGCAUGCGAUUCAGAUAGAUUAAUUAAAAUUGUAUUGAGUUAAUAAAUAUGUGGGUUAUUAACUUAUUGAAGAGUUAUACAUUUGAGGUGAAAUGAGUUGGAUGAAGUUAAACUAAAUACUUCAUUUGUUCCAAAUUACUUGUCCAAUUUUUCUUUUUUACUGGUACAUUUUGACAAAUCAAAGAGAGAACAAUUUUUUUUUACCUAUUAUACCCUCAAUUAAUUAAUUUUGAAAAAGGUAGAACUUCUUGAAAAUCUUAAAUUUUUAAUUUAUCCACUUCAUAAUUAAUAGGGGUAAAAUGGUAAAUUCACUAUGUCAAUUGUUAUAGGUGUGUCAAUUUAAAAGUGGACAAGUAAUUAGGGACAGAUGGAGUAUAUAGUUGAGCAUAUUCUACUUUGAAUUUGAUUGAAAUUUCAACGGAGAAGGGCCUAGAAUGCCCUCAAGUGUUUGAAUUGGUACAAAAUUACCCUCCAUCCACCUAUCGGGCCUAAAAUACCCCUAACGUCCACCUUUCGGCUCAAAAAUACUCUUAUGUCUAACAAAUAAUACUCAUUAGGUGGAUGGAGGGUAAUAUUGUACCAAAUAUCAUAGUUUAAGGGCAUUUUAGGCCCUUUUCCGUUAAAAUAAUUUGAAAUUACAUAAUAUAUAAGCUCACAUGAUUGAAUUGAUUUUAAAUUUCAUAGUAAAUUUUGUUGACACCCAAUUUUGAUCCUCCCCGAUAGAAAUUAAUUUUCGAGCUUCUUAGAUUUCAAAUGAUUUAGAAUAAUUAGUUUAUAAAAUAUUUUUCAAGUUUUGAAUUGAUUUUAGUCAUUUUUAUAAUAUUUAAAUAACACAUGGUUCUUACAUAUUUAUUGAUAUAUUUUAUAAAUAUUUGACAACCAUAUCAAAAGAUUUCUACAUUAUUAAAUAGUUAUUUUUUUUUUAAAUUUAGUUUUGGUUUGAAUUAUAGUUUUAACUUUAAAUUAAUUAGUUUAUAUUUAAAUCGACUAGUUUACAAUUAAAUUAAUUAUUUUAUUUUGUUAAGAUUAAGAAGCUCGUUAAUUAAUUAAUAUUAACCCGUCUCAUCUAGAUUUAGCCAAAUUUGCAAAUUAGUAAGGCAAUUUGGCUAUUUUCCUUUUAACAUAAGUUGAUCUAGUCCUAAAUAGGUCAUCCUUAACCAAUAUUUAGCAAUACAGAGAUCAGCCCACUAAUUUCUCAUUCUUAAUUCCCCUCAGCUCGUUAGUGCCUUCAAUUCCAGAAAAUCGGGCCUAACUUCAACUCCCACUCCAAUUAUUCAAUUCCAGCCCACUUCAUAACAUUCAACAGACCCAAUUCCCUUAUGUUCUCCAAUUUUCAGACCCAAUCCCAACAAAGAUGGCUAUGAUGUUAUUGAGUUUCUUGUUCCUGGAGAUAAUGUACAGUUACUAGCGGAAAUGUAUACUAAUUUAUCCCAGUUACCAUAAAUUCCCAGCUCACCAACAUACAAAUACAUUACACUAAUACAAUAUCGAAAUUUUUUAUUAUGGUAGAGGCCCAACCAAUCAAAGUUGGGUGAGGCUCCAUCCAUUUUUUGACAUGUGAAUCGUGGGGGCCCAAGCUAUUAGUCAAGGCUGAAAAACGAAACCGAAAGGAGAGAGAAUGUAAAGUUUUAGUGGGAAUUGCAAGACAAUUGUGGGGUUCAUGUCAACUUCAAUUAAAUAAAUUAAAUAUUAUAUUGAAAGGUGAAAAGUGUACAGUAAAAAAGGUAAGGAAAACUUUGAAUAUAAUAUCUAAUUUAUUUAAUUGAAGUUGACGUGAACCCCACAAUUGUCUUGCAAUUCCCACUAAAACUUUACAUUCUCUCUCCCUUUGGUUUCAUUUUUAAGCAUUAACUAAUAGCUUGGGCCCCACGAUCCACAUGUCAAAAAAUGGAUGGAGCCUCACCCAACUUUGAUUGGUUGGGCCUCUACCAUAAUAAAAAUUUUCAUACAAUACCCAUACAACCGACAAUACAACAAUAUCAGUACCAAAACGACCCCCACAUGUCUUCUUCCUCGCAAAACUAAACUCCAGCGAACUUAAAUCGCUAACGAAACCUAGAAACCCAAAUCGCAACCCAACAAAGCGAAUCGACCCAGCAGCAUUCGGCCCAGGAGCAGCCCAGUUGCGCGUGAAUAUUCGAGUGAGCCAGAUGGAAGCAUCUUGACGUCUCGCUCGCCCUUCUCAAGAAAUCAAAUGCCUCAAUCGUUGUCCCGUUGAGGAGCUGUACAAUUUCGGACAGAAAUUCAGGCUGGCAGCCUUAUCUCUAGAGAGAUUUCGAAUUUCAAAAUUUGAAUUUCACCCGAUUUUCCUCCCGUUUUCCCCCCUAAAUCAACCCAAAAUCUCCUCUAUUUAAGGGUCUUCUUCUUCAUUAUUUAGGAUGGCUUUUGGCUGGUAGAGGAACAGAAAGAAAUAAGAGGAAAAGUUUGGAAAGGGAUUACAAAACACAACUUAUAUUGAAAGCAACUAAAUUUUUAUUUUAGAAAUACAGCCGAACAGGCUCAGUUUUCUAUUUCAAUUCUCGCUUUGGGCGUCAGAGUUUCUCAGAGUCGUAUUCCGGUGUGAAAGCUCGUGGUCUCAAGCUCGACGUCCUAGUUCGUUGCCCCCAAAAAGGUAAUACUUCUCGUUCGAUAACAUCUUCUCCGUCUCUUCUUUUAUUCCGAUCUUUGAUGUUGGAAAAUCUCCUUUUGGUGGUUGAUUUUCUACUUUGUGUUUGAGUUCUGAUCGAUUUAAUAUGACAUAUGUGUGUAGGCGUUUUCAUGAGUUAACUUUAGUGUCGAUUCAAGCUUUACCGUCCUAUAUUUAGCAUUAGUGUUUCUCUGUGAUUGUAUUUAAAUUCUGCUUUUGUUGUCUCCCCUUUCGAGUCUGCUUCGCGAAUGUGUGUUGCACUUAGUUUGUUGUUGUUUAAUGUCAUUUGUUCCUAAGUUUGAGAAUUCCGAAUUAAUUGACAUAUUAAAGGUGUUUGUGAUGUUAUCCGUCUUUUAUUUUUAUCUUAGCAGUUUCCUUCUCCCUUCCCUCAUACCAUUGUUGUGAACAGACUAAGUCUUAGCUUGGAGCAUCUAUUUGUGUUUUACUGGUUUUCGAUUUAACUGUUCUUUGUUUGCCAUUGAAUCUAAAGCAUCCUGAUUCAAAGAUUUUCUCUUUCUCUUCCUUUAAAUCUAUCGAUUGCUUUGAUCUCGCUAAAUUCCUUGCCUCAAGUCUUUUCCUUGAUUUAAGCAUGCGAUUCGGUACAUGUUAAUCUUCCAGCAGGGGACAGAACCUUAAACUGGUUAACAUGGAGUUUAAAUGUAUUUUAAGCAUGUUUGUUGUUGUCCUAGUUUUGGGGCAUUAGAUGUUGCUCAAGCAUGAUAGUUUCUUUCUUUUCAAGCAUGUUUUGAAGCAAUAUAAUUAAUUAGCUUUUCUUUAUUUUCUUUUAAAAAUGCAUGUGCUAGUUGGAAUAUAUCUUAUUGGAUUUAUUUUCUCCUAGUUUGAAAAUAUAUAUGUUGAUUGUGUUCUAGUAAUUGUUUCCUAUGCAUAAUCACUUGUAGAACUAAUUAUUUCUUAACCAUCUAAGAUUUAUUCUUCCUUUGCUGACUAGUUUUACUUUCUUUUGUUCAUUGUGAGCAACUGUGGAUCAUUUCAUUUGGGGCCAGAUCCUUUUCUUGCAUCAUUGAUUGGGCCACUUAGGCCCAAAGUCAUUCCCGCAUCACCCUUUCACUAUCAAGUCUCGAAUUGGAAAGCAAACAUUCGAAUUUCCAAUGGAAGGCAAUAUACAAGGCGGGAAAAUUGAAAUUAUAGAACCCGGGAGUCAGAAAAUGAGCUGAUAUUCAAGAAUAUACAGCGAUAUACAAUAAGUGUAUACGCUGUAUAUGGUGGCAAAAAUGGGCCAAAAGCCCUUCUUAAAUUUCAUAUUUGCAUUUGUGUUGUAUUUGGGCCAAAGGUCCAUAUAUUUUUAGUAUUACUCUUCUAGUUUUAGGACAGGAAAUUGGACAAAAAGCCCACUUAUCUUUGGCAGAUUUUGUUAGUUUUAGGACAGGUACAAGUGGUCCAAAGGCCCAAAACAAAGUAGGCCCAAGUGUUGGUCCAGGCGAACAGAAAAUCAGACUUGGGUCCAACGCCUUCUCUCUCUUUAUUUUAUCUGUAUUUCAUAUUUGUUUUGAUUAUUUAUUUGAUAGUUAAUUUUAAGGUUUUUCCCUAGUUCAAUUCCCC
This 4528-nucleotide long non-coding RNA is filed under the name Solanum tuberosum (potato). RNAcentral's name for it is "long non-coding RNA (STUB_LNC002876)". Lineage: Eukaryota; Viridiplantae; Streptophyta; Magnoliopsida; Solanales; Solanaceae. The record is from RNAcentral.